UGAAAUGUUGGGUUAAGUCCCGCAACGAGCGCAACCCUUAUCCUUUGUUGCCAGCGGUCCGGCCGGGAACUCAAAGGAGACUGCCAGUGAUAAACUGGAGGAAGGUGGGGAUGACGUCAAGUCAUCAUGGCCCUUACGACCAGGGCUACACACGUGCUACAAUGGCGCAUACAAAGAGAAGCGACCUCGCGAGAGCAAGCGGACCUCAUAAAGUGCGUCGUAGUCCGGAUUGGAGUCUGCAACUCGACUCCAUGAAGUCGGAAUCGCUAGUAAUCGUGGAUCAGAAUGCCACGGUGAAUACGUUCCCGGGCCUUGUACACACCGCCCGUCACACCAUGGGAGUGGGUUGCAAAAGAAGUAGGUAGCUUAACCUUCGGGAGGGCGCUUACCACUUUGUGAUUCAUGACUGGGGUGAAGUCGUAACAAGGUAACCGUAGGGGAACCUG
This 446-nucleotide ribosomal RNA is filed under the name Salmonella enterica subsp. houtenae serovar Houten. Its description in RNAcentral is "bacterial SSU rRNA". It matches the Rfam family "Bacterial small subunit ribosomal RNA", at positions 1068 to 1514 of the family's 1533-position model. The record is from RNAcentral. Lineage: Bacteria; Pseudomonadati; Pseudomonadota; Gammaproteobacteria; Enterobacterales; Enterobacteriaceae.